Molecule: non-coding RNA, 71 nt
Organism: Pangasianodon gigas (Mekong giant catfish)
Lineage: Eukaryota; Metazoa; Chordata; Actinopteri; Siluriformes; Pangasiidae
Source: the annotation of a GenBank genome assembly
GGCAAGGUGGAUUAGUGGUUAGCACACAUGCAUUACCCCUGUGGUUGGGGGUUCAAUUCCCACCCCUGCCC